CAAAGGGCUUCAUUUCCCCAUCUAAAGAAGCCAAAACCAGUUGUGUGGUAGCAUAAUACUCAAACAGAUCUUCAUCAUAUUCAUCUUUGAGCAGAUCCUGAUAGGUUCUAGCUUGAAUAACAUUCUUUUGCUCAUUAGAUUGAAUCUUGGGGCCAGAGGGGACCAAAGGUUUCCUUGGUGGAUCUCCACGAGAUAACGGGAUGGUACAUACCAAAAGAGUUGAGUCAUUCACCCAAACAAAGUUGUCAAAAACAGCAUUUACAUAUACAUCUGGUGACUCGAAAAGAGGUCUGGCUUUCCCAGUAUCCACAUUAGCAACCCAUACUCUCAGUUUGCUGCUGCUGCCAUCAUCCUCAUCAAGGCGGACACUGAAGGCUAAAUGCUGACCAUUGUUUGACCACAUCACAAAAUUAAUUUUAGCACCUUUGGGGAGACCCUGGAUCUCUUUUUCCGGUCCUAGGCUACCAUCUUCCAUUAACUGAUGGAUGGCUAUGCCAGUAUAGAAAGACAUGCGACUCCUGGAGUUACAUUUCCCGUCAAUGCGGAUUCCAGCAAGCUUCUCCUCCGGUCUUGCUAAAUCUGACAAAGGUGGCAAGGAUCUCCGCUUAAGAAACAGUAUUUUAUCCCUUAAUGGAGAGAAUGACAGUGCUGGAAGUGGUGGAGCAUCAGCCACGGGAUAUCGUCUUCCUCCGUUUGAGAUUAGAGAUAUUGUUGAUGCU
This 719-nucleotide unclassified non-coding RNA is filed under the name Hevea brasiliensis (rubber tree). The record is from RNAcentral. Lineage: Eukaryota; Viridiplantae; Streptophyta; Magnoliopsida; Malpighiales; Euphorbiaceae.